Kogia breviceps (pygmy sperm whale) is the source of this 107-nucleotide small nuclear RNA. The record is from RefSeq and is a predicted model, not a curated record. Lineage: Eukaryota; Metazoa; Chordata; Mammalia; Artiodactyla; Physeteridae.
GUGCACACUUUGGCAGCACAUACACUAAAACUGGAAUGAUACAGAUAAGGUUAGCAUGGCCCCUGUACAAGGAUGACGCGCAAAUUCGUGAAGCAUUCCAUAUUUUU